CAUGGAGGUGACACAGGGGUGACACAGAGGUGACACAUGGUGACACAGGACGUCAGGUCCUCCACCACAACCUCCUCCCAUUGGCCAACGUCAACCAGGGGGAUCAUAGAGAUGGGAACAUGGCGUU
Molecule: long non-coding RNA, 127 nt
Organism: Lagopus muta (rock ptarmigan)
Lineage: Eukaryota; Metazoa; Chordata; Aves; Galliformes; Phasianidae
Exons: 3
Source: RefSeq, a predicted model, not a curated record